Molecule: transfer RNA, 76 nt
Filed under: mine drainage metagenome
Description: tRNA-Thr
Rfam family: tRNA
About the family: Transfer RNA (tRNA) molecules are approximately 80 nucleotides in length.
Source: RNAcentral
GCCCAGGUAGCUCAGUCGGCAGAGCACGUCCUUGGUAAGGACGAGGUCGCCGGUUCAAAUCCGGUCCUGGGCUCCA